UGGUACUGGCAUCGAUGAAGAACGCAGCGAAAUGCGAUAAGUAAUGCGAAUUGCAGAAUUCAGUGAAUCAUCGAAUCUUUGAACGCACAUUGCGCCCGCCAGUAUUCUGGCGGGCAUGCCUGCCCGAGCGUCAUUUACACCCCUCGCCCCCCUCGGGGGGCGGUGUUGGGGACCGGGGCGGCGGAACCACCUGGGACCGCUGCCCCCUCCCUUAAGUCCAUUGGCGGUCCCGCCGGCGCCCUUCCGCGUAGUAUCACUACCCCGCGGAGCGGUGCGCCCGGCGGCGACACAGCCACUAAACACCCCAAUUCGGGCCGAGAGGCCUCAGAGUUUGACCUCGGAUCAGGUAGGAAUACCCGCUGA
Molecule: unclassified non-coding RNA, 363 nt
Filed under: uncultured fungus
Lineage: Eukaryota; Fungi
Description: partial contains 5.8S ribosomal RNA and internal transcribed spacer 2
Rfam family: 5.8S ribosomal RNA (bases 1-133)
Source: RNAcentral